GUCGUUAGCUCAGUUGGUAGAGCAGUUGACUUUUAAUCAAUUGGUCGCAGGUUCGAAUCCUGCACGAC
This 68-nucleotide transfer RNA is filed under the name Escherichia coli. RNAcentral's name for it is "tRNA-Lys". It matches the Rfam family "tRNA". From Rfam's summary of the family: Transfer RNA (tRNA) molecules are approximately 80 nucleotides in length. Their secondary structure includes four short double-helical elements and three loops (D, anti-codon, and T loops). The record is from RNAcentral. Lineage: Bacteria; Pseudomonadati; Pseudomonadota; Gammaproteobacteria; Enterobacterales; Enterobacteriaceae. RNAcentral also lists the same sequence under 22 other names.